RNAcentral lists this ribosomal RNA (254 nucleotides) under uncultured bacterium. RNAcentral describes it as "partial 16S ribosomal RNA". It matches the Rfam family "Bacterial small subunit ribosomal RNA", at positions 524 to 776 of the family's 1533-position model. The record is from RNAcentral.
UACGGGGGGGGCAAGCGUUGUUCGGAAUUAUUGGGCGUAAAGGGCGGGUAGGCGGCCACCGCAAGUCAGUUGUGAAAUCUCUGGGCUUAACCCAGAAAGGUCAACUGAUACUGCGGGGCUAGAGUGCAGAAGGGGCAACUGGAAUUCUCGGUGUAGCGGUGAAAUGCGUAGAUAUCGAGAGGAACACCUGCGGCGAAGGCGGGUUGCUGGGCUGACACUGACGCUGAAGCGCGAAAGCCAGGGGAGCGAACGGG